AUACGGAGGGGGCUAGCGUUGUUCGGAAUUACUGGGCGUAAAGCGCGCGUAGGCGGCUUAUCAAGUUAGGCGUGAAAGGCCUGGGCUCAACCCGGGAACUGCGCUUAAUACUGGUAGACUUGAGUCCGGGAGAGGGUGGCGGAAUUCCCAGUGUAGAGGUGAGAUUCGUAGAUAUUGGGAAGAACCCCAGUGGCGAAGGCGGCCACCUGGCCCGGUACUGACGCUGAGGUGCGAAAGCGUGGGGAGCAAACAGGAUUAGAAACCCCAGUAGUCC
Molecule: ribosomal RNA, 274 nt
Filed under: uncultured bacterium
Lineage: Bacteria
Description: partial 16S ribosomal RNA
Rfam family: Bacterial small subunit ribosomal RNA
Source: RNAcentral